CCUUCCCAAGAGAAGCUCUCCGGCCCCACUCCUCCACCAGCCAGUUGUGAUCCAGGAGCUGGGAAGCCAGGCUUUGGGGCACAACCUGAAGACCCUCACAGUCAAUGUCACCAUAUCCACCCUCCGGUAUUCAUCAGACAGGAGGAACAGCUCAGCUACGUUCAACUCCACUGAGAAGGUCCUGCAGAGCCUGGUGAGACCCUGGUCCCAGCAGCUCCUGCUGGAUCCUUGUUCAAGAAGAGCAGCCUGGGCCC
Molecule: long non-coding RNA, 254 nt
Organism: Diceros bicornis minor
Lineage: Eukaryota; Metazoa; Chordata; Mammalia; Perissodactyla; Rhinocerotidae
Exons: 3
Source: RefSeq, a predicted model, not a curated record